UGGAAAAUGCGCACGUGUACCACAAUUGAAUGGGAACAACGAAUAGUAAUGCACAUGUUAAAUGGAUUAAAAGCAGAAACGGAAACACGUUCAUCCAAUCCUUGGUCUCAACUUUUGUAAUGAUAUGCGUCCCCCUCCGCCGUGCCGGAGGAUGUCCUCGGCGGCAGAGGCUUUCCAAAACCAAAUCGAACAUCAACGUUCGAACCUAAUUUGCAUCCUGAAUCCGAAUACGCCACCAGAAUUUUCUAACUCCCCCAGCAUCGUUCGGAUCGAAGAAGAAACGUGGUGAAUCCCUAACUCAUAAUCUUGAGAUUUAAACAACGACGGAGGGGAAUCGAGCCACCUCACGUCGGGGCUUUGAUUCCCCUCAUUAAAAGCUACGCAACGGUAACCUCGAUAUGCAAAGAAGAUGAAGAUAGAGGUGAAGGUUUACCGGAACGACACCGGUGUCAGGUUUUUGGUUUUGCGGCUUUUUGUUGGUUGGUGGUUAUGGCUGAAGGAACGAAGAAUGGUGGUUGAGUGGUGGUGAUUGGAGGUUACACGUUAGAUGCAAGUGAGACUCGGUGAGGAUGAAGAUUUAAGAGUUUCAUUGAAGGUGAUGAGAAAUGGAAAUGAGACUGGUUGAGGGUGAAGUGAGAAGAUGAUAAAAUGGGAGUGAAGAAGAUUGAUAGUGGAUAGAGAAGAUGGAAGAGAACCAGCCCCAAAACAGAAUCACCAAGGUGACGUCUUUUCCCCGCAUAUUUGCCAACUACCAAGCUGUCAACGAGUUGUAGUCGUGGACUCAAAUGUGUUGGACUUGAGGAUGCUGCUUUUAUAAGAAUUUGCAGGGGAGUCUUGCCGGUUCUGUAAAAAAUUACACACGUGGACCUUGCUGCAUUUUCUCCUUGACUUCUAUCAUGCAUUUGUCAUGCGUUUGGUGCUUGCUGAGCUUGGUUGUGAUGCAGGUCUGCCAUGGCGUUCCUGUUACAACUGCCGUUCGCUUUGGACGUGGCAGUUUGUAUCUGUUCGGUUGAUGCUGUAGCUUUUCCAUUUGCAGCUUUGUGUGGCUAGUUUCGUUUGGACGACAUCUUUCUCACAAUUGUUAGUUUCAGACUUAGAACCGCCAUCCCAUCAUGUGGCAGCCUGGGCACACCAAUAACAAACUGAAACAAGGCCCUCUAUUGUUCUAGAGUGAACUCUUUCAUAAUUGCAAGUAGAUUAACAAUGGCAGGCCUCUUAGCAGUGUGUCCAUGAAAGUUUCCAUGUUUUGUCCUUGUCUCGUGCAUUGAAAUGUACUUUAGAAAAAAACUGUCAUGAAUUUGUGUUGCGAACGCUAUCAAAUGCUUGAAAUUCUUUUAGUGAGGUUGUAUGCUUCAAUGAAAUGGUUAUUGAAUCUUGGACUGUUUUUUCCUUGCAGGACGGGUUGUGUGAUUCGAUGGAGCUUUGGACAUGGACAUGGCUCACUCGGCAUUGAAGCUUGGAUUGUUUUUUUUGUAUUUUCUUUUGAAAUUUUGUAAAUGUUUGUAGUUUAUGUUUGUAAUGAGUAUAAUUAGGAGAUGGAAUUGUAAUAUAUGGACAUGCAUGUAUGAAAUUGUUAUUGUUGGAAGGAAAUGUGACUUGGAUCAGUUUGAACAAAUUGGGUUUGAAACUAGUGAUAUUGAAUGUUGUAAUGAAAUGUAAUAAGAAGGGUGUUUGACA
Lathyrus oleraceus (garden pea) is the source of this 1677-nucleotide long non-coding RNA. RefSeq lists it as uncharacterized. Lineage: Eukaryota; Viridiplantae; Streptophyta; Magnoliopsida; Fabales; Fabaceae. The record is from RefSeq and is a predicted model, not a curated record. The transcript has 4 exons.